This 14878-nucleotide long non-coding RNA is filed under the name Manihot esculenta (cassava). Its description in RNAcentral is "long non-coding RNA (MESC_LNC011844)". Lineage: Eukaryota; Viridiplantae; Streptophyta; Magnoliopsida; Malpighiales; Euphorbiaceae. The record is from RNAcentral.
UGAUAGAUGAAGCAUUGAUGGACUCAUUUUCCUCUACAGAAGUAAGCAGAUGUGUAAAUAUUGGACUUUUAUGUGCACAAGAUCAUGCUGCUGAUAGGCCAUCAAUGGCAGCCGUAGUUUCUAUGCUAAGCGGUGAAAAAACAAAGCUUCCUGAACCAAACCAGCCUACUUUUACGUUUAAAAGCAUCUCCACCAGCAAUUUUCAAUCACAAAGCAACUCUACAUGGUCUGUAAAUAAGGUCACCGAAUCAAUCAUUGAACCACGAUAAACGCCAACUUGUCGGUUAGCUUGUAUUAGACUUUGACAAUCUCACGCUUAUCCUUUUUUUAGAUUUUAGUCAUACCUAGCUUGAGAUUAUUAGUUCCGUGCAAUCGGUCGAUUCGAUUUUGAAUCGAAUCGAAUUAAUUUGAAAAUUAAAUUGUAAAAAUAUAAAAAAUUAAAAAAAUCGAUUAUAAAUAUAUAAUCAAAUUGAAUCGAAUAAAUAAAAAUUGGUUUGGUUUAAAUUGAAAUUUAUAAUUUUUUUAAUUUUUUGCUACUAAAAAAAAAAAUAUACUGUAAAAUUUUCAAAAGUGUUUAUGAAAAAACAAACGAUUAAUAAUUUUUAAUAAUAAAAAUAAAAAAUAUAUAUGAAUAUUUAUAAUAAUACCAAAUACACAAAGAAUUCUGAUAAAAUAAAAAUAAAAGAUAAAAUAAAAAUAGAAGAAGUUUCUUUGCUAUAUUAUUCACAAUAAUCGGAUUUUCGCCGAGGUAUAAUAAAAUAAUCAUAUAAUAAUUUAAUAAAUAUUUCACAUAAAUUUAUUUAUAAAUAUAUUUUGAAUAUAUAAUGAUAAUAUUUAAAAAAAUUUAUAUAAAUCUAUAUAAAAUUUAAAAAUAUAAAUAAAAUUAAUAUUUUAAAUAAUAAAAAUAUAUAUAUAAUUAAUUUUUUGAUUUUUUCGAUUAUUUAAUAUGUUUAAAUCGAAUCGAAUUAAAAAUUAAAUAAAUUAAAAAAUAUUAACUAAAUCAAACUUUUUAAUUAAUUAAAUUAUUAAAUUAAAAUUAAUUAAUUCGAUUUAAUUUUUUAAUUCAAAUCAAUUUACAUUUAUCCGUAAAGAUUAUUGAGUGUAUACAUUAUCUCACUAUUUGAAAUGAAAAAUUUUAUAAAAAUUUAAUUUAAUUGAUUUUUUAAAUAAUUUUCUUAUUUGUAAUAAAAAAAUUUAAUUCUUUUUAGUUUAAUUGAAUAUAAGUUUGUGGAUUUGAAUUUGGCCUUUAGACUUUUAGGCUUAUAUCUCCUUUUCAUUUGGCCCACUAGGCCUUUAAAUACAAUGGUAACAGCAUGUUAGAAAAAAAAAAACCUGCAUCAGUCCAAUUUAAAUAAGCAAUUUCUUAAAAAAUAAUCUGUUGGACUGGAGCAAAUCAAAAUCAAACUGAAGUCGAAUUUGAACUCUGCUCUCCAGUCUCCAAUUCUUGAUUUCAUUAAUAAAACAGAAUCAGACCUGAUCUAACAGGAGGAUUAGUUCUGUUUAUCUUUUUGUUAUUGGGUUGAAGUAGGGAAGUUUUAGAUUUAUUUUAUUUGUGAUCAAUGUUGAUAACUGUGAGGUUUCACGCUUCCUUGAUCGAGUCAAAACUCAUAAAAAUAGAGUGGGUUUUGAGUCCGAAACGCCUUUCGGAAGAUCCACUCAAUAACUCCAGUUCGGAUUCCAUCACAAAGGACGGGCCGGAUCACCUCAGAGCUCAAACUCAGUCCGUAAUACGCCGACCCAAUAAGGCGACAUGGGGAAGAAUGAGCAGAUCCCAUCCUUUCGCAGUCCUGUUCGCACGCGUACCGAAAAAAAUUAAAUGGCCACUUGACAGAGAUAAGGUGACUGACAAAUACGGACCUGACCAAUAAAAACAGACGUCACUUUUGCAGAAAAGCUGUUAAAAGCCACUUGCAAGUAAGAAGAAAGAAAUAAAAAAAGAGAGGAUCUUCUCAGAGACCAAAUUUACACACACUUUUAAUCCAAACUAAUUUCUAAAUCUCAGAGUAUCAAAUGUUAUAAAACUUUAUACUGAUUUAUGAUAUAGCCUCUAAAAUAAAUUAUAAAAAACUAAUUAUUUUACACAGAAUAUAUAUUUAUUAUUUUACUUUUAAUUAUACAAUACAAUAUUCAUCUGUAAUAUUUUAUAUUUUCAAAACUGUAUUAUAAUUUUUUUAAAUUAUAAAAUUCUUAAUUAAUUAUGUUAAACAUUGAUACAAUUUGAAUAAUUUAAUCUAAGAAAAUAAAAAUUUAUUAAUUUUAUAUAUAAUUAAUAUUUAAAAAAUUAAUAUUUAUAUAAUACCUUUUUCAAUUUAAAAAAUAUAAUCUAAUUAAAUUUUAUAUAUAAUUAAUAUUUAAAAAAUUAAUAUUUAUAUAAUACCUUAUUCAAUUUAAAAAAUAUAAUCUAAUUAAAUUUUUAAAUUUUUAUUAAGAAUUUAAAUUAUAAUUUACUUAAAAUCAAAUAAUUUUUUUAAGAAUAAAAUUUAAAAUCCUUCAUAUUUACUCAAAUACAUUUACUAGUAGAUAAAAUUUGAAUAAAUCAAAUUUACUCAAAUUUAAAUUAUAAUUUACUCAAAAUCAAAUAAAAUUUUAUUUAAUAUAAUAUUUUUAUAAUAAUAAAAUAUUAUUUUAAUAUAAAAAAAUUUAUUUUUAAAUUUUAAAAAUUAUUUACUAUUUUAUUUUUUAAAAAUUUAUAUUAAUUAAAAUGCUUCUCUUUUUAUUCUAUAAAUUUUAUUAUUUUAAAAUUAUUAUUUAUUUUUUAAAUACAAUUAAUAUAUUUAAAAUGAAUUUAUUAAUAUUUAUAUUUAUUAAUACAAUAUAUUUAAAAUGAUAAUAUUUAAAAAAAUUUAAAAAAAUUUAUUAAUAUUUAAUAAAAAUUAAUAUAUUUAAAAUGAAUAUAAUUGAAAAAUUAAUAAAAAAUAUUAUAUUUUUAAUAUAUAUAUAUAAUAAAAUAAAUAAAAAUUAUAAAAAAUAAUAAUUUUUAUAUUUAAAAUUGUAAAAAUUAAUAUUUUAUUAUUAAAAAUAAUAUUAUAUUAUAUAAAAUUUUAUUUGACAUACUAAUUAGUUAAAAAAUUUUAAAAUUUUUUUCAUAAAAAAAAAAUUAUUUAAUUUUAAAUAAAUUUAUGUGAAUUUAAUUCAACUUAUUUAUAUGAUUUAAGAGUUAAACAAAUAUUCGGGCGACAAACAUUUGCGACUUGCGAAACCCGUGCUUAGCUUCGCUUUCACCCAUCUUCAUCACAGUGAGCACGUGCCAAAGAUCCACCAGAUCAAAUGUGAAAAGGUCGACCGCUACAACGUUUUUUACGGUUGCGGCCAAUAGUUGCGGGUCGGAAAUGGAUAUGCCAGAGAAGGAAAAAUCCGGCGUUUUUGGUUCCGACAUAUUUUUAGAAGUUAGCGAACGUUCUUUGGACUCCGUCGGUCCACACCCACUUUUUGACCAGGAAAAACUGUAGCUAGUAGCUACUAGACGCCCCAUAAACAAAAGGUAUGGACUUUUUGGCUGGUGCCACGAGCUCAGGCAGCUUGGAGCUUAAUACCGUACCUCCUCGACAUGUUGAAAAGAAUUUUUUAUCAUAAUUGUAAAUAAAUCAAUGAUCAAAUCUUAUUAUUUUUAAUAUAAUAUAAUUAUAAGACAUAAUUAAAGAUACUAUUAAAAAUUUAAUUAUUUAUAUUAUAUAUUAUAUAAAUUCUGUAAUUUACUAUAGAAGAUGGAAGAAAAUAAAAAUAAUUUUCUUCCUAUAAUUUUAAGAUGGUAUCAAAGUAGGUUUCGAUCUAAAAAUAUAGCCGUCCUGUAAUAAUCCUUUACUAGAUAUCUUUUUCAACUUCUUUCUCUCACCAAAAUAACAAUGACCGACUUUCCCAGCCCGGCUGACCAAUCCCAAGCAAUAAUUGAUCAAAUAGCAGACCUGUCACAAAAACUAUUCUAGUUAAUUCAGAAUAGCCAAAAUGAAAAUUAGAAAUCAGUGAAUCAAUUCACUCUUGAUUCAGCACAGCCACCGUCCGACAUAAAAUUGAAUGAUUUCAAUUAUGUUAUAUGGACAAAGAUGAUGGAGAUGUUUAUCACUAGGCGGGGGAAAUCAAACCAUCUGACUGGGACUCCCCCCCUCCGACAGAAACAGACCCUGCAAUUUACCUGUGGCAAACUAAUGACAGCAUUGUCCGAGGAUGGUUAAUCCAGACGGUAGAGCAGAAGCUCCGUCCAAAUUUAUUGCAGCACAAGACAAGCAAAGGACUCUAGGAUGCCCUCAAGAUCAUAUUCAAUACAGGUAGCAACAAACUUAUCAUUUACGAGUUACAGUCUAAAGCAUACAAAUUAACACAACAAGGAAGCAAUCUGGAAGAUUUAUACAACGAUCUUCAGGCCAUCUGGGCCGAGAUCGAUGAAAGACAACCGACCAGAAUCGAAGGAGACAACAAUAUUAUUAUCCGGAAUUGAGAAAUCCAGGAGGAACGUCUGUACCUAUUUUUGGCUGGAGUAUAGUCGGACCUCGUUCCAGUCCGUCGAGAAAUUCUCAACGAAGAGCCAUUGCCGACCUUGGACAAUGCCUACUCUCAGCUCUGAGGUGAGAAGUUGCACCGUGACAUCCACGUUCCUCUUCCAUCACCAGCGACAGUAGGUUCCGACCUCGUGGGUGUCGGUCUAUUGGCUAAAAAUGGGUCAGACACAGACAAGUCAUCACUCCGGGAUGACAAAUCGGGCUUAAAAUGCACCCAUUGCGGUGGAUCUCGACAUACCCGGGACGUAUGCUUUAAGAUCAUAGGGUAUUCAGAGUGGUGGGAGGAAAACAAGACCCGUAAGAAGAAAGGAAAGGGACAAGGCGCAGGGAAUAUGGCCACAGUCACUACCAGCGGCACCAAAAGGCUGCCUGCGGCAACAAUUUGAUUGGACAAACGGAAGAAAACUCAGGCGACGGACAGAGCUCAGGGGUUGCAGCAGCGCUACAAGGAGCCGCGAAAGGAGGAGACACGGGUGUCCCUUAUGAUCGGGAAGGAGGUAUUUUAGGGUUAGAAAGGAGGGCAAAUGACCUUUCUACCCCUAUCUCUUUAAAUAAAUCUAAAUGUGCCCCUGCUUGUUUUAAUUCUUGUAAAAUUAAAUCCCUGGUCUCGAAUAUUUUAGAUAAGUCUGUUUGUAAUCCCAAAACUGAAUCGUUAGCCCUUAAUUCUAUCGGUCAUGCUAACAAGGUACAAAAUAAUAGUGGGUGGAUAUUUGAUUCAGGAGCCACAGACACUAUGACUUGAUUCUUCAGAUUUUGUUGUGUCAGCCCUACCCCCAAAAUCCAAUAUUCUAAACGCUACCGGUGGCUCCUUCUUUGUCAUCGGUGGUGGUACAGUUUCUAUAACCCCACUUUAAAUGUCUCCAACAGCCUCUAUGUACCUUCCUUAUCUUGCAAAUUACUCUCUGUCAGUCAGAUCACCAAACAGUUAAAUUGCAGAGUACUCAUAUAUCCUCAUUUUUGUGUUUUGCAGGAUAUUCAUACGGGCACAGUACUGGGCCGUGGUACUGAGAAAAAUGGACUAUACUAUGUAGAGGAGGUCUCAAGUACUAGGUCAGCUCAUUUAGCUCAAGGGUCCUCAACCCGACAGUUAUGGCUCUGACACCGGCGCUACAGCCAUCCCUCAAGUGAUUAUCUUGUACUUUAUUUCCUGAGUUUAAAUCCACUGACAUUCCAGUUUGUACUUCAUGCGUGCUUGCUAAGAGUCAUAAGAGUACUUAUCAUAUAUCCACAAAUAAAUUUGAUACUCCUUCUCAAUAAUACACUUUGAUAUAUAGGGGCCUGCCCCGGAAACUGUCUCCCCUGAUUAUAGAUACUUUGUGACUUUUAUUGAUGAUUGCACUCGUGUUACUUGGAUUUAUCUGUUAAAACAAAAAUGCAAAGUGGCUGAGAAAUUCUGUGAUUUUUUCCGCAUGAUUAAAAUCCAAUUUCACAGGACCAUUCAAGUCCUCCGAUCUGACAAUGGGGGGGAAUUUGUUAAUAACCAUCUCCAAACCUUUUUCCGGGAUAAUGGGAUCCUUCACCAAACUACUUGUCCUUAUACACCACAGCAAAAUGGGGUUGCUGAAAGGAAAAAUCGACAUAUCAUUGGGACUGCCCGAGCCCUAUUGUUUGAAGCCCAAGUUCCUCCUAAGUUUUGGUCUGAAGCAGUUGCCACGUCCAUUUACCUCAUCAAUCGACUUCUGUUGUAAUACCCGGCUAAAUCCGGCAUCGGAAUUCCUACCGUCCGGUGGAAUUCAAGGAUGUCAGAGGUUUUUAGAAGGGUAGAGUGAAGGUUUUAAGUAUUAUUUUAAAGUUUUAAAUAGAAUAGGAUUGAGUUUUUGCAGAGAAAAAGGUUUUGGGGACAAAGGCCAGGUUCGGCCGCCGAAGGUAAGUUCGGCCGCCGAAAGUGCCCAAUGUUCGGCCCCCGAAGUUUAAGUUCGGCCCCCGAACGUUGCAUGGUUUUGCAUGCAGUUUCGGCAGCCGAAGCUGAGGUGGUCGGCUAAGCUGUGCACGCUCCUCAGUCCGUGGUUUGGCCAGGUGUUUGCCUCCAGAUCGUGAGCAGAGGUUAGGCCACGUUUCCCUUGACUCAUCUGCAAGCUUUUAAUCAGCUUGUGCAGAGGGUUGAGUGUGUUUCAAAGGGUUUUGAAGGUUUUUGAGAGAAAAGAGAGAAAAGUGAGGUUUUGGUAAUGUUUGAAGAGGAGUUGCUGAGUUUAGUGUUCAGGUUGUUCCUCUUCUGGUUUCAGGAGGUAAGGGAAGCUUUUAUGUUUAUUUUACUAAGUUUUUAACAGCUCCAAAAGUGGUCAAGGGUAGAGAUGCAUGAGGUGUAUGCUUAGGUUAGUGUUGAUGUGUUUAUGUAGAAGUUUGAUUACAUGUUAUGUUUGCUGUUUUGUUGGGGUUAAUAGGUAGGUUUGGACCCCUUUGAACAUAUACCAGAGUAUAUGUGAGCUAAGAGUGAGUUAUGCAUGUUAGAGAAGAGGAGAGGUUGAAGGAAGGAAGUUGCUGGCGAAGCUGAGUUCAUGAAGAACUCAGGUUCGGCAGCCGAAGAGGAGAUUCGGCCGCCGAAGGUACUUGAGUUUCGGCUCUGUUCAGGACAUUCGGCCGCCGAACCUGCCGCCGAAUGUGUUCUGUCCAGCCUUCUUUUGCAUGCUUUGUGUGAUUGUUUUUAGAGGUUCAGAAGGGAUUAUGGGGGAUUGUUUAAGAGUUGAUAAGAGUAUGUUUGACACCUCAUUCGAGUCCAUUUGUGUAGGAUUGGACCCGACAGUUCAGGGAGGUCGUCAGGAUUAGCAGUUGCAGAGUCAGUCAGGUUUCUGCUUGAGGAGCAGAGGUGAGUAGAACUAAACUUAAUGUUUUAUAUUAAAGUAACAGAAUGCUUGUUAGCAUAGUUCAUGCAUCAUGAAUGCUAUGAUAUGUAUUAGGGUGAUUUCAUUAGAAUCACGAAGAUGGUGCAUUGCAUUAUUCAUUUGAUAGUGAGGAUUGGACCAAGGCGACAUCAAUAGCCCGUCGAGGGAGUUUUGAGGUCAUGUCUAAUCCAAGAUGUGGAAUGUUUGAGUUGUGAUGCAUUUUCAUACAAGAUGCGUAUGAAUGAACUGUUUUCAGUAUUUCUACUCACUGGGCUAUAGUAGCUCAUCCCUUUCCCUUAAUUCCAGUUUUGCAGGUACAGAGUUAGCUGGGGAGUCAGAAGCAUCAGAGUGUUGGCUCCAGUAUGCUUGUGUAAUAGUGUAGUAGUGGACAUGAUGUAAAUGAAAGAGAUAUUUAUUACAGAUGUAUAGAUUGUCAGUUAAUGUGCUUAUGGUCUAGUGUGUGCUCUGCCUAUAGUAUGUGUUGAUCCCUUGUGUAUGCAUAUAUCCUGUUUUAAAUUUCUUGAUGAGAAAUGAGUCAAACCAGGCUUAAUAAAUGUUGUGUUUCGAAAACCCAGUGAAUGAUAACUGUGAGGGAAGAUAGGGUUUAAUUCCUUUGACCCAAGACCAGUGCAGAGGAAAGACCAGGUUUGAUUCCUGUGAUCCAUAGAGAGGCCAAUAGAGAAGACCAGGUUUGAUUCCUGUGACUCUAUGGUAGCUAAGUUAACUUAUGAUAUGCUGACCCUUACAGAGUGGGUUCUAUGACACGGAGCAUAGUGCAUGGAGGUUACUUGGUAGAGUAUCACUGGUUUAGCCCUGAGGGCUAUUUCAGAUUGAGAUGUCUGAUGUUUUAAAGGUUAAGUCUGGUAAUUUUAAAGAAAAGUUAGGAGUCGUGUUGGAUCAUAUAUGGGAUUUUAUCAGGACCAUAGAGUUCAUAGCAGGCUUACUACAGGUCUAGGCGGCCUUAAGCCGAUCUGGAUCCUAGUGCCGAGCACUUUGGGCCGUUACAGAGAGGUACCGGUUUCCGGGGUGUUACAUCUGUCUUCCGUCCUUAUUUUCCAAUCUCCCUUGCAUACCUUGUCCUCUCAUCACACCAUCCCUUCACAUCUCAACCUUCCACCUAAAAUCUUUGGUUGCACAGUUUAUGUUCACAUUCCUAAAACACACCGCACUAAACUUGAUCCAUGUGCUCUUAAGUAUGUUUUCUUUGGUUAUGGUGUCCAUAAAAAGGGCUAUCGGUGUUUUGACGAAUCUCUAAACGGCUCUUCACUACCAUGGACUGCACCUUUCUGGAAGAGAAAUAUUUUUUUCCCUCGCCAACUAGCAGUGAGGGGGAGACAAAGGCACAAUCACCACCACUGUCAAAUUGGCUUAGUCAGGGGGGCUAGAACAUGAUCAUUCUUCUCUUCCUGAGUCUACACCAGAACUGGGAGACACUGACCAUCUAGUACCGUCCUCGGCCUCAACGUCACAACCAGAACUUGAAACCGUAGAAUAUCCUGAGGAACACACAACUGAGGUAUGUGAAUCUAAACUUUCCCCUAUUUCUAAUAACCUUACCACUGAAUCCAUUUCUCUUGAGGUUCCUGAAACAGGCCAAUAUGUUCUACCCCCUCGGAAUAAUAGAGGAAUUCCACCCAGGAGAUAUGAUUCGGAAUUCGAGGCAGCCAGGUCCAGAUACCCUGUGGCAAAUGUUACCAGAGGAAAAAGACUAUCACCUCAGUUGGUCAACCUACAGAAAAAUAUUUGCUCAGAAUGGAUACCAAAGGAUGCCACAGAGGCCCAGAAGGACAAAAGAUGGGUUGAAGCGAUGGAGACCGAGAUGGAUGCCCUGGAGAAAAAUAAGACCUGGGAAAAAUACUGGCUACCCAAGGGAAAACGAGCAGUGGGAUGCAAAUAGGUGUUUAUCAUAAAGUAUAAGUCAGAUGGAACGGUGGACAGAUAUAAAGCUAGACUUGUAGCAAAAGGAUAGACUCAGACAUAUGGAGUUGACUAUUCUGAAACAUUCUCUCCAAUAGCAAAAAUUAAUACAAUACGGGUCCUAUUCUCUCUAGCUGCAAACCUAGACUGGCCACUUCACCAAUUUGAUGUGAAAAAUGCUUUCUUACAUGGUGAUCUACAGGAGGAAGUAUACAUGGAUGCUCCACUAGGGUUCAUGAGUGGAUAUAGAAGGGGAGAAGUGUGUCGAUUAAGGCGAGCCUUGUAUGGGUUGAAACAGUCACCCAGAGCAUGGUUUGGGAGAUUUACUCAAGCAAUGAAGAAAAAUGGAUAUCUGCAGAGUAACUCCGAUCACACUUUAUUCUUAAAGAGGCAAGGAAGGAAGAUCAUGUGUUUAAUUAUAUACGUGGAUGACAUGAUUAUAACUGGAGACGAUGUGGACGAUAUCAAACAACUGAGGGACAACUUAUUCCAAGAAUUUGAGAUGAAAGACCUGGGGAUGUUAAAAUAUUUUCUUGGAAUCGAAGUUCUAAGAUCAAACCAGGGAAUUCUGAUAUCACAGAGAAAGUACAUUCUUGAUCUGUUAACUGAAACAUGAAUGAUAGAUUGCAAAUCAGUCGAUACUCCGAUAAUGGUCAAUCACGAGUUGAGCAAGGACUCAAAAGAAGGACCCACAGACAAAGGGAGGUACCAGAGACUGGUAGGAAAACUGAUUAUUUAUCACACACCAGACCAAACGUGGCAUAUGCUGUGAGUUUAGUAAGUCAGCUCAUGCAUGAUCCAAAACAAGACCAUAUGGAGGCAGCAUUGAGAAUCGUUCGAUAUCUAAAAGGAACAGCUGGGAUGGGCAUGUUGUUCAAAAAGAAUGGUCAUUUCAGUAUCAGUGGAUAUACGGACGCAAGUUGGGCAGGAGAUCUCUCCGACAGACGAUCUACUUCAGGAUACUUUACCUUUGUCGGAGGAAAUUUGGUAACGUGGAAAAGUAAGAAACAAAAGGUGAUGGCAGAAUUCAGGGGAGUAGCAAAAGGACUGGCAGAACUCCUAUGGAUCAGAAAGUUGAUGUUUGAGCUUGAAUUCCCAUCAAAGGAUGCAGCUGAACUCCAUUGUGACAAACAAGGCAGCAAUAAGUAUUUCUGAAAAUCCAAUUCAGCAUGACCGAACAAAACAUGUUGAAAUAGACCGACAUUUUAUCGAAGAAAAGUUGGACAGUGGUCUGAUAUCUUUACCGUUUAUUCGAUCAGAUGAUCAAUGGGCGGAUAUCCUAACCAAAGCAGUAGCUGGACGAAUAUUCUAUAAGGUUUUGGGCAAGUUGAAUAUACUAGAUCCACAUAAACCAACUUAAGGGAGAGUGUUGGAAAAAAUCUUCUGUCAUAAUUAUAAAUAAAUCAGUGAUCAAGUCUUACUAUUUUUAAUAUAGCAUGAUUCUAAGACAUAAUUAAGGAUACAAUCAAAAGCCUAAUUAUUCAUAUUAUGUACUAUAAAAAUUUUAUAACAUAGUACAUGAUAAGUAAAAAAAUAAAAACAGUUUUUUUCCUUUAAUUUCAAUAAGGCAAUUAGUUCGUGAUGCACCGGUGGGUCACCACCUAAUUUAAGAUAUUAGAAAAAAGAUGAAAACUUUUCCCUCUAAUGGGUAAUGGUGUAUGAAGUCGAUGUAACUUAUUUGAAGUUGCCUGCAUAUAAGACAAUUCAACGGCUUGGGUUAGGUUAAAUCGGCUAUGGCUAUAAAUAAAACCCAUUUGUUUGACAAGAAACCCACUUGAUUGACUUGCCUCAUCAUUUUCCAUCCUGUAGAAUUAAUUAAUUUUAGCAGUUUAUUAUUUAUUAAUUAAUAAGAAUAUAAAGUAUUCCAUUGUUGUUUCCUUGAACAAGCAGCAAAAACAUUUCCUCGACAGAGUUCAAGAAUAGCACCAGCAUCCACGGAAGUGUAGAGUCUGGUGUGGGAGGAAACCCAUCACCAGUUUGGAAGGUUAUAAUCCCAGUACCAAAGUCUCCCACUUGAUUGAUUUUGUCUACUGGUAAGAAUCAUUACAUUCCUUAAGACAAAAUCGUUGGCCUACUUUACUUGACUUGUGCAGUUAUUGCCGGAAUCUCCGAUUUGAUGUCUUUAUUUCCCUCUUCUUAUGCUGUCUAUUAGUGGGGAAGACUCGUAUUCCUUGAAAGUGGAAACUGCUGCUCCAGUCAAGAUUAAUCAAUUCUUGUAAUAAUAUCGAUCUUAUUAUCUAUUAUUUUCAUGUCAGUGAAGAUGGUAAUAGCAUUUUAGAAAUAACAUGGGUAGAAGAGAGUUCAUGGUGAAGUCUGGAUUUUUGUGUUUCUUCUUGUUCAAUUUGUUCUCAUUUGCGUAUUGUUCUGUAAUUUAUAACAUAACUACAACCAGAGCUGUCUCACCAGAACAAACUCUAAACUCUCCUCGUCAAAUUUUUGAGUUGGGUUUCUUUACUCCUAACAAUAAUUCUCGUAAUCAAUACGUGGGAAUAUGGUUUAAGGAAGUUUCUCCUCAGACUGUGAUUUGGGUGGCAAACAGAGAGAAUCCCAUUACAUCUUCCUCAGCGAGUCUCACAAUUGGCAGUGAUGGGAAUCUGAGGCUUCUGGAUGGGCAGAGGAACACUAUCUGGUCGACGAAUAUUUCUAGCCAAUCGAAUAGUUCAAUUGCUGUACUCUCAGAUGAUGGAAACUUCAUUUUGAGGAACAGUAUAACAGGAGAUGAUCUAUGGGAGAGCUCUCAGCAUCCGUCCGAUUCUCUCUUGCCAGGCACAUGGUUAGCCUACAAUGAAACAACUGGGAUGAGACUUACUGCAACUUCCUGGAGAAGUAACAAUGAUCCAUCUAUUGGGGACUUUACUGCUGGUGUACCACCGUUGACACCGCCACAAGCCUUCGUUUGGAAGGGAUCGAAACCUCACUGGAGAAGUGGGCCGUGGGCCAAAACCAAGUUCAUCGGAAUACCAGAAAUGAAUGCUGAUUAUAAAUGUGGACUCACACUUAUAGAAGGUCUUCAGCCUGGAAUUGCUUAUCUCACUGUUAGUGUACUCAGGAACUGCAGUUACUCAAUGUUUGUGGUUUCACCAGCAGGAGUUUUAAGGUUCUUGUGUUGGGUGAAAGAGAGGGGCUGGUAUGCAAGGUGGGAGGCACCAGUCACUCCCUGUGAAGUCUAUGGAGCCUGCGGACCGUUCGGGGUUUGCCUGAGAUAUGCACCAAAUUUAACCUGUAGAUGCUUGAAAGGGUUUGUGCCAAAGUCUGACGACGAAUGGAGGAAAGGCAACUGGACCGGAGGAUGUAUCAGGCGAACUGAAUUAAGUUGUGGGGGAAAUACAAGUUCUGUUAAUGCACAAGGAGGAAAACCAGAUGGAUUCUUGAAGGUUGGUGGGUUAAAACUUCCUGAUUGGCAUGAAUACUUGAAGGUUUUCGAUGAAAACGAGUGCCACCAGCAUUGCUUGAGUAACUGUUCUUGCUCAGGUUAUUCAUAUGUAAAUGGAAUAGGCUGUUUGUUUUGGACAACAAACCUUUUGGAUAUGCAUGAGUUACCCUUUGGUGGAGAAGAUCUUAAUCUUCGCCUUGCGCUUUCAGAAUUGGGUGAAAGUAAUUACAAUUGAACAACUUGUGAAUUUCUUUGUUUCCAUUUUAUUCUUUUCUUGCACAGCAAUUACUAAUUGGGAUCAUUGUUAUCUUGUAGGUGAUCAGAAGACUCAUAUAAAGAUCAUUGUCAGUGUUAUUACUGUUUCAUCUGUCAUCCUCAUUGGUGCCAUGUUUUGUUGUUUCUUGAGGUGGAGAGCGAAGAAAAGGUCUAAGCCUAAAACAAAUGGUAAGAAACUGAUUGCUACUUCAAUGAUGUUGUACAAUGAUCAGGCAACUAGAUUUGACUUAAAUGUUGAAUUUGAAAUGGAUAUGUUCAUAUGAUAUCUAGUAACAAACAACCAAUGUUUUACAAGACAUUAUAGAAAAAGUCCUUAAAAAAGGUUUGACAGCUUAAAGUGCUAAUAAAGGCUAAGCUUAUUGAUUUGAAUUUUGUGCUUACUGAUAGAUGCUAAAGAAACACAAACGCUUUGAUUUUGCAGCUCCAAGUGACAUGUCUAGAGAAAAUUCACAACCAAUCAUGUGGAGAAGCCCUUUAGAAGAUGAAGAUUUAAUAGAGUUGCCUUUAUUUGAUUUCAAUAACAUAAUGCUUGCAACUAACAACUUUGACAUAGAGAACAAACUUGGGCAAGGAGGCUAUGGUCCGGUUUACAGGGUAGGUACUUCAAUUUUUUUUUUCCCAAAGGCAAAAAUGUUUUACUUCAUUGGAGAAAAUAAAACAUGGAGUGUUAUUUUGUUUGGAUAUUAGGGAACAUUAGAUGGGAAGGAUGUGGCAGUUAAAAGACUUUCUAGUAGCUCUAGUCAAGGCAUAGGAGAGUUCAAGAAUGAGAUGAAGUUGAUCUCCAAACUCCAACACAGAAAUCUUGUCAGGCUCUUAGGUUGCUGCAUUGAAAGAGAAGAGAAGAUAUUAGUUUACGAAUACAUGCCGAACAAAAGUUUAGAUACUUAUCUAUUUGGUUGGUUUUCUUUCGGAUUUUUUCUUUUCUAAUUUCUUAUAAUCAUUUUAUUUUGUAGUGCGUGUAAAAUGAACUUAUGUUAUCAUAUAUAUUGAUUAGAUACAACAAGAAAGGCUGAGCUUGAUUGGACUAAACGUUUCAACAUUAUAAUGGGAGUUGCUCGAGGACUUCUUUAUCUUCAUCGUGAUUCUUGUUUAAGGGUUAUACAUAGAGAUUUAAAAGUGAGUAAUAUUCUUUUGGAUGAGAAGAUGAAUCCAAAAAUAUCAGAUUUUGGUGUAGCAAGAAUUUUUGAAGGCACACAAGAUUUGGGAAGCACUCGCAACGUUGUAGGAACAAUGUAAGUAAUCUUAUUUACCAAAAUGCUUGCGCUUUCAUGCUAGCUGGUAACAUCGUCCAUAAAACAUAACGUACAAGUGCUAAAUACUUUAGUUCUCUUCUCAAAUACAGAGGUUAUAUGGCUCCAGAAUAUUCGUUUGGUGGCAUAUUUUCAGAGAAAUCUGAUGUGUUCGGCUUUGGAAUAUUGAUCUUGGAAAUUGUCAGUGGUAGGAAGACUAGCAGCUUCCAAUAUGAUGAACAAUACAUGAAUCUUCUAUCUUAUGUAAGUCAGCACUAUAAUCACAUUGAUGUUGUUCUUUUUCCUUGAUUUAGAUUUCGUACUUAAUUGGGAAGAAAAUGCAAAUAUUUUGCAGGCAUGGCAAUCAUGGUCUGAAAGCAAGGGUGUAAGAAUGAUAGAUGAAGCAUUGAUGGACUCAUUUUCCUCUACAGAAGUAAGCAGAUGUGUAAAUAUUGGACUUUUAUGUGCACAAGAUCAUGCUGCUGAUAGGCCAUCAAUGGCAGCCGUAGUUUCUAUGCUAAGCGAUGAAAAAACAAAGCUUCCUGAACCAAACCAGCCUACUUUUACGUUUAAAAGCAUCUCCACCAGCAAUUUUCAAGCACAAAGCAACUCUACACGGUCUGUAAAUAAGGUCACGGAAUCAAUCAUUGAACCACGAUAAACGCCAACUUGUCGGUUAGCUUGUAUUAGACUUUGAUAAUCUCACGCUUAUCCUUGUUGUAGAUUUUAGUCAUACCUAGCUUGAGAUUAUUAGGGCUGUGUAAUCGGUCG